GACGAACGCUGGCGGCGUGCUUAACACAUGCAAGUCGAACGGAAAGGCCCCCUUGUGGGGUACUCGAGUGGCGAACGGGUGAGUAACACGUGAGUAACCUACCCUUGACUUUGGGAUAACUUUAGGAAACUGGGGCUAAUACCGGAUAGGAGCUCCUGCUGCAUGGUGGGGGUUGGAAAGUUUCGGCGGUUGGGGAUGGACUCGCGGCUUAUCAGCUUGUUGGUGGGGUAGUGGCUCACCAAGGCUUUGACGGGUAGCCGGCCUGAGAGGGUGACCGGCCACAUUGGGACUGAGAUACGGCCCAGACUCCUACGGGAGGCAGCAGUGGGGAAUAUUGCACAAUGGGCGGAAGCCUGAUGCAGCAACGCCGCGUGCGGGAUGACGGCCUUCGGGUUGUAAACCGCUUUCGCCUGUGACGAAGCGUGAGUGACGGUAAUGGGUAAAGAAGCACCGGCUAACUACGUG
RNAcentral lists this ribosomal RNA (465 nucleotides) under uncultured bacterium. Its description in RNAcentral is "partial 16S ribosomal RNA". It matches the Rfam family "Bacterial small subunit ribosomal RNA", at positions 28 to 507 of the family's 1533-position model. The record is from RNAcentral.